This 565-nucleotide ribosomal RNA is filed under the name uncultured archaeon. RNAcentral's name for it is "bacterial SSU rRNA". It matches the Rfam family "Archaeal small subunit ribosomal RNA", at positions 57 to 627 of the family's 1478-position model. The record is from RNAcentral.
GUCGCGAGGGUUCGGCCCUCGGCUGACGGCUCAGUAACACGCGGAUAAUCUGCCCUUAGGUGGAGGAUGAUCUCGGGAAACUGAGAAUAAUAUUCCAUAGAUUUAGGAUGCUGGAAUGCACUUAAAUUGAAAGCUUCGGCGCCUAAGGAUGAGUCUGCGGACUAUCAGGUUGUAGUCAGGGUAACGACCUGACUAGCCUACGACGGAUACGGGUUGUGAGAGCAAUAACCCGGAGAUGAUAUCUGAGACACGAUAUCAGGCCCUACGGGGCGCAGCAGGCGCGAAAACUUCGCAAUGUGCGAAAGCACGACGAGGGAAUCCCAAGUGCUGGCUCGUUAGAGUCAGCUGUUUUUAUGUCUAAAAAGCAUAGAGAGUAAGGGCUGGGUAAGACGGGUGCCAGCCGCCGCGGUAAUACCUGCAGCUCUAGUGGUGGCCGCUAUUAUUGGGCCUAAAACGUCCGUAGCCUGUUUAUUAAAUGCCUAGGUAAAUUGUGUGGCUUAACCAUACGAAUUCUGGGUAGACUGGUAAACUUGAGACUGGGAGAAGCUAGAGGUACUUCUGGGGU